RNAcentral lists this transfer RNA (67 nucleotides) under Trepobates sp. XD-2019. RNAcentral's name for it is "tRNA-Tyr". Lineage: Eukaryota; Metazoa; Arthropoda; Insecta; Hemiptera; Gerridae. The record is from RNAcentral.
GGUAAAGUGUCUGAUUGAUAGGUUGUAAAUUGUAAAUUUAUAUAUGAAUAUAAAAAUUCCUUUACCA